Patella vulgata (common limpet) is the source of this 689-nucleotide long non-coding RNA. RefSeq lists it as uncharacterized. The transcript is spliced from 5 exons. Lineage: Eukaryota; Metazoa; Mollusca; Gastropoda; Patellidae. The record is from RefSeq and is a predicted model, not a curated record.
GCCCCUAUUUUCCUGAUUCAGUCACAGUUAAUAAAUAAUAAAUAAUGGAACUAGAAUCAGUCUGUGGAAGUUUCUCUAUAGUUUCAUUAUUUUUUCCAGUCAGUGAUGAUAUGACUCAUUCCACCUUACAGUUACAGCAAUUACCGUAUUGAGAAUUUACCGUUCAAGGACUCCAUUUUGGCAUUGAAUUGGAAUUUGAAGAAAAACUGUUUCAAUAUUGGAUGUAUAUGCAAAUCACCCAGGAAAAGAUCAUGUAACAAAAGAAAUUAUAAAAGUAAAAAAAUGGAAGAAGAAAUGGCUGGAAAAAAUGAUGAUAGAGCAGCUUUUUCUUGUUAGCCACCUCGGAAGAUCAAGACAGCUGGAAAGGGCUAUUGAUAUUGUGGAAGUGUUUUCUUACAGAGGUUGCUUAUCAGACAAAGGCUAUUUAACUACAUCAGAAAGAUAAAAACAGUUGGAAAUGGCUAUUCAUAUUGUGGAAACUUUUCUCACAGAGCUUGAUAAUCAGGCAAAAUGCUGGAACACCCUUGAAAGAGUAUUUGAUGUAUGAUAACAACAAGAGAACCCAAGCAUCAAUUUAUUUUAUACUUCUGGGAAAGAAUGCAUUUGACCCAAUUUUUAAAUAUUUAUUUUUUGUUAUUAAUGUUAAAUUUUCUUCCAAAACACAAUUAGAUUUUAAUUCUCUUCAAAUA